Molecule: long non-coding RNA, 880 nt
Organism: Lethenteron reissneri (Far Eastern brook lamprey)
Lineage: Eukaryota; Metazoa; Chordata; Hyperoartia; Petromyzontiformes; Petromyzontidae
Source: RefSeq, a predicted model, not a curated record
CUUUUGUCUGCUGUGGAUUGAGCCCCAUGUGCUGGUCAACCGUGACAUCAAGGCAGAGGUGGCACAACGAGUUAAAGAAUUGAUCCUGAAAGAUGCUGCAGAGACGGAGCAACCUGUGCCUGUGCCGGUGCCUGCUGAAGAAGAACUAGAGGACAUGGAAGGAGAAGGGCUGUUUGCUGCAUACCAUAAGAGGCAGAAAAUGGAUGUUGGGACCCCACCAGCAGUACAGCUAAGUCACUACAUUGACAUGGCAGAAGGACAGAAUGCCCUUUUGUUCUGGGCACUGAACAGUAAGACUCUUCCUUCACUCUUUCAAGUAGCCAUCCGAGUCUUGGCAGUGCCUGCUUCUAGUGCUCCAGUGGAGCGAGUUUUCAGCCAUGGUGGCAUCAUUCUGCGUCCCCAUCAUGCACAAAUGACUGACAGACUUUUGGCCAAUUUGAUCUUUUGCAAAUGCAAUGCAGUGUAGGGGCCUCCCUCCACCUGUCCACAGCACGCAUGCGCACACACACUCACUCUCUGCUCAUCACCUGUCCACACAGCUCUCUCUCUCUCAUACACACCAGUCUCUAUGGAGGCAUUCCAAUUAUAUUAUCAGGUUGGUCCAGUUUUUCAGAAGUGAUAAUUUUGAGGAGUGAGGAUUUUAUUGAUGACAUGUUUAAAAAAGUUUAGGCUAAAAGAACCCAUGUCUAUUUGAAAGUUAAACUGUUUUGCAAUAUGAGGUCAAUGCAAUACAGGACUGAAGCUGCUGUGCAUUGUUCUAGUGCAAUAUGCUGUUGAAAUAAGAGCAUUUUUUGUGAAAAUUAAAUUUUCUGUUUUUUACUGUGUUUGAUUAAUGUCAUUGUAUAAAAAGAGGUUUAAAUAAAUACAAAUCUUACAGACA